This 245-nucleotide ribosomal RNA is filed under the name uncultured bacterium. RNAcentral's name for it is "partial 16S ribosomal RNA". It matches the Rfam family "Bacterial small subunit ribosomal RNA", at positions 533 to 776 of the family's 1533-position model. The record is from RNAcentral.
AGCAAGCGUUGUUCGGAUUUACUGGGCGUAAAGGGCGCGUAGGCGGUCAGCACAAGUCAGUUGUGAAAUCUCCGGGCUUAACUCGGAAAGGUCAACUGAUACUGUGCGACUAGAGUGCGGAAGGGGCAACUGGAAUUCUUGGUGUAGCGGUGAAAUGCGUAGAUAUUGGGAGGAACACCAGUGGCGAAGGCGGCUCACUGGACCGGAACUGACGCUGAGGCGCGAAAGCGUGGGGAGCAAACAGG